CUGGAUCAUCUGGUCAGUGGCUUCUGACUCAGAGGACCUUCGUCCCCUAGAGCAGUGGGCCUUCCAGUGAUUGCCUUGACAUAAGGGGCAUGGACAAGGGGGCAGUUUAUUUCUAGUCAGACAACCUUUUUUAAAGUGUCCUUGUAGACCGCACUGGAAACAAGCCCUAUUAGGCAUUCGAUUUGCCCAGUCUUUCCCUUUUUCAGAGCCUCCAAAGUCCUCUUGCCUGAAGGCCGUGACUAAAGUAGUGGCCUUUUCUUUUUUUUUUUAACCCCGUUUGUCCCAUUCCACCUGCUCCUGAUCGCUAUUAUAAAAAACCAAGGUUGCCAAGUUCAAUAGGGUUUCUAAGUUUUACUCUGGGCCUAAGGCAGACUUUUGAAGUUUUUUCUAAUGUCUGCAGCUGACUGAGUGAUAAACUUAUCCUUUAAGAUUAGUUGGUCUUUAAUAGAGUCAGGUGACAGAGAGGUGUGCCUCCUCAAUGCCUCCCUUAGUCUCCCCAGAAAGACAGUAGGAUUUUCUUCCUUUCCUUGUAUUAUAGUGGACAUCAUUGAAUAUUUCAUAGGCUUCUUCCUAGUUUUCCUUAGUCCUUCCAGCACGCAAGUUAGCAAAUGUCUGUGGCACCAAUCUCCAUGUUCUGAUUCUGCGUACCAGUGAGGGUCUACACUGAGAACUGCCUGCUGGCCUGUGGGGAAUUUUUCUCUUUCCUGUUGUCAUCCUAUCAUUGACCUGACUGAGAUACCAGAGAUCAUCAAACUCUCAGGCUGCAGUUAUGGAGGCACUUCUCUCAUUUGGAGUUAGUGUCUCAUCUAGCAGUAACAUUAUAUCUCUCCAUGUCAGAUCAAAGGAUUGUCCUAACCCUUGUAAAACAUCAAUAUAACCAUCAGGGUUAUCUGAGAAUUUACCUAGUCUAUUUUAAUUUGUUUCAAGUCUGAGAGGGAAAAAGGUACAUACACUCUGACUGGCCCGAAUUCUCCAGAAUACAUCUUAGGGGUGUUUUGGCUUGUGGGAAAGUUUCCCAUCUGAAUAAAGAACAUAGGGAUGACAGCACCCCUAGUCAUUUUCUGAUGAGCAUUAGUCCUAGAGCAUCCUCUGUGGUCAUAAUACUUACUCCUUUCCAAGAUGCAUAACCACCCAUGGACCUCUGCUUAUCAGAUUAGUUAUGCUCACCGAUGUAGCAGUCCUGCACCUGUUUUCCUGCCUUUCUUGACAACAAAGAAAGGGGUCCAGGCUGCUGGAUUCUAGUGGUCUUUUACCAGCAUGCCCAACAUUGCCUUUGCACUCAGAGGUGAGUUCUAGAGCUGGGCUAGGUUCCUGAGUAUUUCAUAACAACCCAGCUACCCCAUCAAGAUGCACUCCCAUAAACAACUGUCCUUAUGCAAAUUCAUUUCAGAGAGGAUGUAGGUAACCUUUUGAGUCAGGAUUGAGAUAGAGUUGUUUUUUUUUUUAAAGAUAACCACUUUUCCAAAGUGAACUUCCUUUAUGUCUGUGGACUAAACUGUCUAAGGCCACAAGACUAGAAGUUAGGAUAAUACAUGUUACACCGUUAACUUUUAGCAAACUUUACUUCUGUUUAAACCCUUGUAAGUUUGGAAUUUCAAUUAUCCUUUGCUGUCUAUAAGACCUUGUUUAGUCUAAAUUAACUUAGAAUUGGUAUAGAUGGUUCCUUCCUGGUUCUGUACUUUAAGGCUUGACGGAGUGCAAACAGCUUGCAUGUUUGAGCAGACCAAUUAUUAGGCAAUUUUUCUAACUCUGCUUCUACAAGAGUUUCCCUAUCAAUUACUGAAUACCCAUUGUGUGUGUGUGUGUGUCUGUGUGUGUGUGUGUGUCUGUGUGUGUGUGUGUGUUUCCUCAAUCACAUGGGAGGAGCCAUCUAUUGUCCUGUCCUGAAUGGAGUUCCUGCUAGGUCUGGUCGGCCCUCUGUAUGGUAAUUAAGAUUUAAUUCCCUCGUUAGGAAAUCUGCUGGGUUAAGGGAAUUUUCAGUGGUUAAUGUUAAAUCACCUUUUCCUCACAGAAUAUCCCCAGACUUUAAGAUUUUUGAGUUAGUAAGCUACAUUUUUGCUUUUUUUUUCUUAGGAUAGCUCUGAACUGGUGAGGUGUGCUCACAAUGAGGUUUCUUCUAAAAGAAAGUUAUUUGUCUACUUUCUUCUGCUAGGAAAGCAGUUGCUGCUACAGACUGAAUGCAAUUGGGCCAUCUGUGGGUUACUGGGUUAGGAUUUUUGAUAGGAAGGCUACUGGUUGUCAAUGGUCUUGAGAGGUGAACCCAGCUGGACUUCUGGGUUGGGUGGGGACUUGGAGAACUUUUGUGUCUAAAGGAUUUUUGUGUCUAAAGAAUUGUAAAUGCACCAAUUAGUGCUCUGUGUCUAGCUAAAGGAUUGUAAAUGCACCAAUCAGCACUCUAUAAAAUGGACAAAUCAGUGCUCUGUAAAAUGGACCAAUCAGCAGGAUGUGGGCAGGGCCAAAUAAGGGAAUAAAAGCUACUGGAGCCAGCCAGGCAACCCACUCAGGUCCCUUAUGCUGUGGAAGCUUUGGGCUUUCGCUCUUCACAGCAAAUCUUACUGCUGCUCACUCUUUGGGUCCACACUACCUUUAUGAGCUGUAACACUCACCACGAGGGUCUGUGGCUUCAUUCCUGAAGUCAGUGAGACCAUGAACCCACCAGGAGGAACAAACAACUCUAGAUGUGCCACCUUUAAGAGCUGUAACACUCACUGCAAAGGUCUCCAGCUUCACUCCUGAAGUCCUCAAGACCACAAACCCACUGGAAGGAAGAAACUCUGGACACAUCUGAACAUCUGAAGGAACAAACUCCAGACACACCAUCUUUAAGAGCUAUAACACUCACUGCAAGGGUCUGCAGAUUCAUUCUUGAAGUCAGCAAGACCAAGAACCCACUGGAAGGAAUAAAUUCCAGACACAUUUUGGUGACUACGAUAGGUGCUCACCUAUCACCAAGUGGUGGAUUUUGGAAACACAGUGGAAGGAUGUUCACUCGUUGCCCCCAUUUCCACUAUAGGAAUAUGUGCCUCCCUUUAACUUACUCAAUUCAUUUUCAUCCUGAUUUGUUAUGUUGUCAUAGACCCAGUUCCAGUUGUUAAAGUACUGGGUUAUCAGUUCUAAGGCCCUGGACAAGGAUCCAAGGCUUGGAGAUUGUAUUGCAGUGGGGUUAAGCUGGGUAGAAAUUGGAGAGGAGAAAUCU
This is a non-coding RNA of Macaca mulatta (Rhesus monkey), 3196 nucleotides long. Lineage: Eukaryota; Metazoa; Chordata; Mammalia; Primates; Cercopithecidae. The record is from RefSeq and is a predicted model, not a curated record.